RNAcentral lists this ribosomal RNA (440 nucleotides) under uncultured bacterium. Its description in RNAcentral is "partial 16S ribosomal RNA". It matches the Rfam family "Bacterial small subunit ribosomal RNA", at positions 338 to 795 of the family's 1533-position model. The record is from RNAcentral.
CCUACGGGAGACAACAGUGGGGAAUAUUGCACAAUGGGGGAAACCCUGAUGCAGCGACGCCGCGUGAGUGAAGAAGGCCUUCGUUAUGUAAAGCUCUAUUAGCAGGGAAGAAAAUUACGGUACCUGAGUAAUCAUCCCCUGCUAACUUCGUGCCAGCAGCCGCGGUCAUACGGAGGGAGCACGCGUUAUCCGGAUAUACUGGGUGUAACGUGAGCGUAGACGGUAGUGCAAGUCUGGAGUGAAAGGCGGGGGCUCAACCCCAGGACUGCUCUGGAAACUGUACGGCUGGAGUGCAGGAGAGGUAAGUGGAAUUCCUAGUGUAGCGGUGAAAUGCGUAGAUAUUAGGAGGAACACCAGUGGCGAAGGCGGCUUACUGGACUGUAACUGACGUUGAGGCUCGAAAGCGUGGGGAGCAAACAGGAUUAGAUACCCUGGUAGUC